ACUCAAGAAAAGAAUCUUAGUCCAACCUAAAGCUAAUCCAUAAAAUCUACUACUACUUUAGAGCAAUUCAAAUAAGGUACAGCCUAUUUGACAUAGGACACAACCUCAAACAACGGCUAACUCAUAUAUACUUAAACUAAGUAGGCUUGAAAGCAGCCACCUUAAAAAAGCGUCAUAGCUUAAUUUUCCUUAUCCUAAAUCCCACAACUUACUAAGAACCCUUCAUCCGUACUGAGUACUUCUAUACUUCUAUAGAAAUUUUUAUGUUAAAACUAGUAACAAGAAGACACUUCUCUUUUAAUGCAAACAUAAAUCAGAACGGAAUAUCCACUGAUACUUAUACACCCUAUUAGCAAACUUAUACACUCGAAAAACCUACCUUUAUUCCCGUUAACCUAACACAAGAGCAUUUCAAGAAAGAUUUUCAAAAAAAGAAGGAACUCGGCAAACAUUGAUUCCGCCUGUUUACCAAAAACAUCGCCUCCUGAGUAAAUAUAGGAGGUCCGACCUGCCCAGUGAUAUUAAUUCAACGGCCGCGGUAUUUUGACCGCGCUAAGGUAGCACAAUCACUUGUCUCUUAAAUGGGGACUAGUAUGAAAGGACCCACGAGAAUCUAACUGUCUCCUUUCUUUAAUCCGUGAAACUAAUCUCCCUGUGAAAAAGCAGGGAUCAUUAUAUAAGACGAGAAGACCCUAUGGAGCUUUAGAUAAAGCAAUACUUUCUUUUUAUAAACCAUUUUCAGAAGAAUACCCCCAAGAAAUUUUGUUGCCAAUCUUUGGUUGGGGUGACCACGGAGUAAAACUAAUCCUCCACGCCGAAUGGAACCUUCCAUAACAAAGAGCUACAGUUCUACGAACCAAAAAAUUGACAAUUGACCCAAUAUUUGAUCAACGAAACAAGUUACCCUAGGGAUAACAGCGCAAUCUACUUCAAGAGUCCCUAUUGACAAGUGGGUUUACGACCUCGAUGUUGGAUCAGGGUGUCCAAGUGGUGCAGCCGCUACUAAAGGUUUGUGUGUUCAACAAUUAAAACCCUACGUGAUCUGAGU
RNAcentral lists this ribosomal RNA (1048 nucleotides) under Ischnocnema cf. henselii CC-2012. RNAcentral describes it as "partial 16S ribosomal RNA". It matches the Rfam family "Bacterial large subunit ribosomal RNA", at positions 920 to 2610 of the family's 2925-position model. The record is from RNAcentral. Lineage: Eukaryota; Metazoa; Chordata; Amphibia; Anura; Brachycephalidae.